RNAcentral lists this non-coding RNA (31 nucleotides) under Mus musculus (house mouse). The record is from RNAcentral. Lineage: Eukaryota; Metazoa; Chordata; Mammalia; Rodentia; Muridae.
UNCAACGUGUCAAGCAAAGUACAUGGUGCAC